Long non-coding RNA from Suncus etruscus (white-toothed pygmy shrew), 476 nucleotides. RefSeq lists it as uncharacterized. Lineage: Eukaryota; Metazoa; Chordata; Mammalia; Eulipotyphla; Soricidae. The record is from RefSeq and is a predicted model, not a curated record. The transcript is spliced from 2 exons.
AGUUUCCUUGAGCUUGUCAGGAGGGAUUCUUUUUGGCAGAGCAGGAAUAUCUGGAGCACUGCCAGAUGUGGCCCCAAAACAAAACUCGUUCAAUGACUUAUUCACUCUACUUCAGAGAACACAGACAUUGUCUCCUCUCUCAUCCCCCAAUCUCCACUGCUGUCCUCAUUCUCUGGAGCUUUUAAGCGCUCAACUUUGCCCUUGGUGGCACAUAGUCUUCUGCAGCCCCCAGAGAAAUUGCGCUCUUCCCUCUUCUCCUUGUUCAAUUUGAGGGUCAUUCCUAUAACAUACUCACUGGGACUUGGGAAUUGGACCUCCAAGAAUUACCUGCCUCACUAGUCUCAUGCUCUAUUUGGUUUGUGUAACAGUCUAGUUCUUACUAGAAGACAGUUGCCAAUUUUAUGCAAAGAGUAAAAGAAGAAUCUCUUGUUUCUUAUUUCUGUUUUACGAUGCAAGAAAAUUUCACUCUUUUUUUU